AGCUGGCUCCCAGAUUCCAGGCAAAUUUGUCAAGCCCUGUGUUAACUAAGCUAACAAUAAUUAAAAUUAAAAAGUCUUGGAAAAAGCCGUUGAUGCAGUCAUUCAGAUGUGCAUUGCAGUCUAACAAUAACGGCUGCUGAGUGCGGAGUUAUCAUGUGCCUCCUCUUCUACCGUUCUUGCCAUUGUUGUAAGCAAGUGCUUUGAGUCAUUUAUAGUAUGGGGGUUUGGAACAAGAGUAAACUAAACGGACAGUUAAUUUUACUAAAAAUAACCGCACUCGAUAACAGCAGUCUUCAUUUUACUUUGUGUGACAAAUGCUCCUUACCAUGGACAUUUGCCACGAAUUCCUGGAGGAGUGUGGAAGCAAGCCUCCUGCCCACAGACUAUGGGCCAUAUACCUUGUGCCAAAUACUUUUCCCUUCUGUUCACAAGAACUGUCCCUGGUUUGUUUUAUAUAGUUCCCAAACAGAAACACUUUCCCUGCGUUCGGUAGACAAAUCUACCGAACACCGACCACCCCCCUGGCUCAUUAACUACAAAUAAACCACAGACUUAAGUGCUCUCUCUUUGUGGCUUGUCGCACGAAUGCAGGCAGCGGGACCUGGUCUUCGAUUGUCUGGAACUACAAGUUGGACACUCGACCCCACG
Molecule: non-coding RNA, 648 nt
Organism: Pelobates cultripes (western spadefoot toad)
Lineage: Eukaryota; Metazoa; Chordata; Amphibia; Anura; Pelobatidae
Source: the annotation of a GenBank genome assembly